RNAcentral lists this ribosomal RNA (559 nucleotides) under uncultured Glomus. RNAcentral describes it as "SSU rRNA". It matches the Rfam family "Eukaryotic small subunit ribosomal RNA", at positions 546 to 1106 of the family's 1831-position model. Lineage: Eukaryota; Fungi; Glomeromycota; Glomeromycetes; Glomerales; Glomeraceae. The record is from RNAcentral.
AAUUGGAGGGCAAGUCUGGUGCCAGCAGCCGCGGUAAUUCCAGCUCCAAUAGCGUAUAUUAAAGUUGUUGCAGUUAAAAAGCUCGUAGUUGAAUUUCGGGACUGACAGGUUGGUCGCGCCUUCGGUGUGUACUGGCCUAGUCGGUUUCUCCCUUCUGACGAACCACGAUGUCAUUAAUUUGGUGUCGUGGGGAAUCAGGACUGUUACUUUGAAAAAAUUAGAGUGUUUAAAGCAGGCUUAGGCUUGAAUACAUUAGCAUGGAAUAAUGAAAUAGGACGUUUGACCCUAUUUUGUUGGUUUCUAGGAUCGACGUAAUGAUUAAUAGGGAUAGUUGGGGGCAUUAGUAUUCAAUUGUCAGAGGUGAAAUUCUUGGAUUUAUUGAAGACUAACUACUGCGAAAGCAUUUGCCAAGGAUGUUUUCAUUAAUCAAGAACGAAAGUUAGGGGAUCGAAGACGAUCAGAUACCGUCGUAGUCUUAACCAUAAACUAUGCCGACUAGGGAUCGGAUGAUGUUAAUUUUUUAAUGACUCAUUCGGCGCCUUACGGGAAACCAAAGUGU